GGCCUAGUGGCCUAAUGGUUAGGGCGUUGCUUUCCGGUGGCAAAGGCUCCAGGUUCGAAUCCUGGCUGGGUCG
RNAcentral lists this transfer RNA (73 nucleotides) under Neonectria ditissima. It matches the Rfam family "tRNA". From Rfam's summary of the family: Transfer RNA (tRNA) molecules are approximately 80 nucleotides in length. Lineage: Eukaryota; Fungi; Ascomycota; Sordariomycetes; Hypocreales; Nectriaceae. The record is from Rfam by way of RNAcentral.